This 460-nucleotide ribosomal RNA is filed under the name uncultured bacterium. RNAcentral describes it as "partial 16S ribosomal RNA". It matches the Rfam family "Bacterial small subunit ribosomal RNA", at positions 338 to 795 of the family's 1533-position model. The record is from RNAcentral.
CCUACGGGAGGCAGCAGUGAGGAAUAUUGGUCAAUGGGCGAGAGCCUGAACCAGCCAAGUCGCGUGAAGGAUGACGGCCCUACGGGUUGUAAACUUCUUUUGUCAGGGAGCAAUUGGGUCCACGCGUGGGCUUAGCGAGAGUACCUGAAGACAACGCAUCGGCUAACUCCGUGCCGGCAGCCGCGGUAAUACGGAGGCUGCGAGUGUUAUCCGGAUUUAUGGGGUUUAAAGGGUUCGUAGGCGGAAUAUCAGGUCAGCGGUAAAAAUUCGGGUCUCAACCCCGUCGUGCCGUUGAAACUGAUGAUCUUGAGUGGGCGAGAAGUAUGCGGAAUGCGUGGUGUAGCGGUGAAAUGCAUAGAUAUCACGCAGAACUCCGAUUGCGAAGGCAGCAUACCGGCGCCCAACUGACGCUGAAGCACGAAAGCGUGGGUAUCGAACAGGAUUAGAUACCCGAGUAGUC